Molecule: small RNA, 289 nt
Filed under: uncultured Mediterraneibacter sp.
Lineage: Bacteria; Bacillati; Bacillota; Clostridia; Lachnospirales; Lachnospiraceae
Description: 5' ureB small RNA
Rfam family: 5' ureB small RNA
Source: RNAcentral
UUUCAAUCUGAGUGGGACUGAUAAAAUGAAUGUGUGUAUCAAUUCCGCCUGCCGUAAUGAUAAGCCCUUCCCCGGCUAUUACCUCUGUACCGGCUCCUACAAUCAGAUCAGGACUCACUCCGUCCAUGAUAUCCGGAUUUCCAGCCUUUCCUAUGCCGCAGAUCCUGCCUUUUUUAAUUCCCACAUCCGCCUUAAUGAUUCCCAUAUGGUCAAUAAUCACCGUAUUCGUAAUCACCAUAUCAGGACAAUCUCUGUCAGAUACAUUGCAUGCCUGUCCCAUACCGUCACG